RNAcentral lists this long non-coding RNA (1560 nucleotides) under Anas platyrhynchos platyrhynchos (common mallard). RNAcentral's name for it is "lncRNA (ENSAPLG00000027704.1)". Lineage: Eukaryota; Metazoa; Chordata; Aves; Anseriformes; Anatidae. The record is from RNAcentral.
GUUCUCUCAUCUUUCCUCAGUCUUUCCUUCUUUCUUUGUGUGGUGCCUUGUGCCUUAGCGUGCUCAUUCUUGACAGUAUUGCCUGCAUGGGGUGCUCUGGAGUGCUGUCUUUUGAAGUGAGCAGAGAUAUAUUUGAGAGAAUUCUUGGAAAACAGGUUGUGGAGAAGAUAUUAAUUAUUUCAAAACAUUUCCAAUCUCCCUUCAUUCCCCUGAAAUCCUUCUGAAACUUUGCAAAUGAUUGAUAUGGCCACCAAAUUUACUGAAGUAUUUCUCAUCUAAUCCUAAACUGUUUACAUCUUAUUGAUGACAAAUGACACUUCUUAAUUUUUGUUUUGAAGAAAUUAUUUGAUCAGUAUAAGCAAACUACUGAACAAUCCCCCAACUUUUCUGUUCUUCAAGUCACUGAGAAAUUCUCCCACCUCUCUUUUGGAUUGCUGACACAAAUGUUGAUUUCUAAUAUGGGUAAAAGAUUGUUUGUUAGCAUGUAGAUACCCCUGGUUGAUAGCCACAAUAAUAGUUAUGCUUUAGCAAUGUAAGCAAUAGUUAAAACUGUGUUUGCUUUGAUUUUGGGCACAUAGAACCUCACAGAAUAAACAAGAAACACAAAGCUGAAACUAACAGAAAAAGCCAGAGAAGUAAAAAGAAUACGUGUCCUCAAAAAGGUUUUGUCUUUUUAUCUUAAGGUUCAUCAACCUUAAGUUUCCAAGGCACUCAAAACUGGAGGUUAAUGGCCAACUCAUACACCUCUUUUCAUUGCCCUGAACACUUGAUCCAUCUAAAGUUCCCAUAUCAACAGACCAAGAGCUUGCGAUUCAGCCUUGCAGUCUUUAUAGCUGUUUGGCCACACAGUUACUAUGUGCACUGUGAAAGGAUAAAUGGAUAUUUGGAUAAUGCGGCAAAACAUUUUGGAGUCCAUCAGUUACUCUUUCUGAAGAGGUGGAGAUCUCUGCCCUGGUCAGGCCUCACCUGGAGUACUGUAUCCAGUUCUGGGCUCCCUGGUACAAAAAAGACAGGGAUCUCCUGGAAAGAGUCCAGCGGAGGGCCACAAAGAUUAUACGGGGCCUGGAGCAUCUUCCCUAUGAAGAAAGGCUGAGAGACAUGGGUCUGUUCAGCCUUGAGAACGCUGAGAGGGGAUCUUAUUAAUGUUUGCAAAUACGUUAAGUCUGGGGAGACAGAGGGAUUUUGCCAACUUCUUUUCAGUGGUUUGUGGGAACAAGACAAGGGGCAAUGGCCACAAAAUGGAGCACAGGAAGUUCCGCACCAACAUGUGAAAGAACUUCUUCACGGUGAGGGUGACAGAACACUGGAUCAGGCUGCCCAGGGAGAUUGUGGAGUCUCCUCUGGAGAUAUUCAUCCAUCUGGAUGCCUACCUUGGCAACCUCCUUUAGAGAACCUGCUUUGGCAGGGGGUUGGACCCAAUGAUCUCUUGAGGUCCCUUCCAACCCCUUCAGUUCUGUGAUUCUGUGAUUCUAUGAUCUUCGGAAUUUGAAAUGGUCAUAGCAAUAGUGACUAUAAAAAAAAAAUAAUAAAAAAAUAAUAAAAAUUAAGGGCUUUAGUACA